This 765-nucleotide long non-coding RNA is filed under the name Salmo salar (Atlantic salmon). RNAcentral describes it as "lncRNA (ENSSSAG00000082089.1, ENSSSAG00000086681.1)". Lineage: Eukaryota; Metazoa; Chordata; Actinopteri; Salmoniformes; Salmonidae. The record is from RNAcentral.
CAGCGUUUCCUGUUCAAUUGUGGAGUACCUUGACUGACACGAGUUGAACUUACGGGAGAAGAAACUGACGGGUCGAUCCACUCCAUCUUCAUCUUCCUGCAAGAGAACCGCACCCACCCCCACUAUACUAGCGUCUACCUCCAACUUAAAAGGUUUGUCAAAGUUGGGGGCGGCAAGCACUGGGCACUACAAAGUAGCGCUUUAGCGGACUCAAAAGCAUAGUUACAGUCCUGGGACCACUUAAAUGGUACCUUCGGACUAAGCAGAGAUGAAAGGGGAGCUACUACCGUCGAGAAAUUCUUACAGAAAGUACGAUAGUAACCUACCAUCCCCAGGAAUCUGCGCAACUGGCGGCGAGUCGUGGGAGCAGGAAAAGCAACAAUUGCUUCCACUUUGCCAGUUACUGGGCGCACUUGACCUCGUCCCACUUGUUUCCCUAAGAACAGCGUCCCCCACAUCCACGUCAUGUUCCAAGAUGGACGUGCGACUUGGAACAUCCUGAAACACAAUACCAGCCAGGCUUCAGCACCACCGCAGCCACACUGGAAACGGCGGGCUGGACCGGCUUUCUUGAGGAGCUGUUGGGAGAAUCACGCAUAUAAUAUGCUUUCAGCAUGUUAACAUGACACAUUCGGGAAGAACGCCUCCGAUCUGGGGUCUUUAUCACAUAAUUGGUGUCACUGAGUUUCUUUUCCACAAGAUAUGGUCCAGAAAAACGUGCUGACAGAGAUGAGCCAGGGAUUGGCAACAAAACUAAAACUUGAU